Molecule: long non-coding RNA, 200 nt
Filed under: Lathyrus oleraceus (garden pea)
Lineage: Eukaryota; Viridiplantae; Streptophyta; Magnoliopsida; Fabales; Fabaceae
Description: Pisum sativum (pea) long non-coding RNA (PSAT_LNC006556)
Source: RNAcentral
AAAAAGUUCACAAUACAAUAAGAGGAAUGGACAAAUAAUGUGUUUUGGAAAGGAGGUCCUUUGAAGUCAACUUUGAAAUUUAGCAUUCUAAAGGCAUGAGGCCUAGUUGCUCUUCAACAAGUUUAGCAUUCUAAAGGCAUGAGGCCUAGUUUCUCUUGAACUCCUUUAAGCAUGGGUAAGUCCUAAUUCUAAGUCCUUUU